AACGAACGCUGGCGGCAUGCCUAACACAUGCAAGUCGAACGAGACCUUCGGGUCUAGUGGCGCACGGGUGCGUAACGCGUGGGAACCUGCCUUUAGGUUCGGAAUAACUCAGAGAAAUUUGAGCUAAUACCGGAUAAUGUCUUCGGACCAAAGAUUUAUCGCCUUUAGAUGGGCCCGCGUAAGAUUAGCUAGUUGUGGGGUAAAGCCUACCAAGGCGACGAUCUUUAGCUGGUCUGAGAGGAUGAUCAGCCACACUGGGACUGAGACACGGCCCAGACUCCUACGGGAGGCAGCAGUGGGGAAUAUUGGACAAUGGGCGAAAGCCUGAUCCAGCAAUGCCGCGUGCAGGAUGACGGCCCUAUGGGUUGUAAACUGCUUUUAUACAAGAGAAAACCCUGGUACGUGUACCAGGUUGAUAGUAUUGUAAGAAUAAGCAUCGGCUAACUUCGUGCCAGCAGCCGCGGUAA
This 467-nucleotide ribosomal RNA is filed under the name uncultured bacterium. RNAcentral describes it as "bacterial SSU rRNA". It matches the Rfam family "Bacterial small subunit ribosomal RNA", at positions 29 to 523 of the family's 1533-position model. The record is from RNAcentral.